RNAcentral lists this ribosomal RNA (400 nucleotides) under uncultured bacterium. Its description in RNAcentral is "bacterial SSU rRNA". It matches the Rfam family "Bacterial small subunit ribosomal RNA", at positions 29 to 414 of the family's 1533-position model. The record is from RNAcentral.
AACGAACGCUGGCGGCGUGGAUAAGACAUGCAAGUCGAACGGGAUAACGUCUGUAGCAAUACAGGUGUUAUUUAGUGGCGAACGGGUGCGUAACACGUGGGCAAUCUGCCGAGAAGUGGGGGAUAGCUCGCCGAAAGGCGAAUUAAUACCGCAUAUGAUCAGCUAAGACAUCUUAGCGACAUCAAAGCCGGGGUAACCUGGCGCUUCUUGAUGAGCCCGCGGCCUAUCAGCUAGUUGGUGAGGUGACGGCUCACCAAGGCUAUGACGGGUAGCUGGUCUGAGAGGACGACCAGUCACACUGGAACUGAGACACGGUCCAGACACCUACGGGUGGCAGCAGUCGAAGAAUUUUUCUCAAUGGGGCAACCCUGAAGGAGCGACGCCGCGUGGAGGAUGAAGG